Molecule: long non-coding RNA, 316 nt
Filed under: Theobroma cacao (cacao)
Lineage: Eukaryota; Viridiplantae; Streptophyta; Magnoliopsida; Malvales; Malvaceae
Description: long non-coding RNA (TCAC_LNC004139)
Source: RNAcentral
GGAAAUUGAAGAGAAAUAAAUAACGGGUAGCCAUCUACAACAACACACCAGUUUAACCUGAUAUGCAAUCAUUGAAUCCAACAUGACAGGAAAAACAUCUAGUUAAUGAAGUCAUGUGGAUGAGGUUUUGGUUAACUGGUUCUGUCUCUCGAAGAUAGCUUGUCCAAGCCUGUCUGCCCAUGGAUGAUAGACCCCAUAAAAUACUGAUCAGAAUGUUGUUGAACAAAGGUGCACAGAUACUAAUAAUAGAUAAUUGACUUAAUAAUAUCUUCUCUCUCUCUUUACCUGUAAAUCAUGCCAGAGUAUGCAGUUUUAU